UGAAUAAAACCUAUAGUGUGCAUUUUCCCCUACCCACAUAUGCUCUCUCUGAAGGGACAGAGAAAAUUGAGAUUUCAGAGCGUUUUUUCCAUUUCUUAGUCUGUUUGACUAAAGGUGCCUCUGGCUCUGUGCAGUGAGGGCCGUCUCCCUCCCCCAGAUCAAUAUUUUAAUAUGACUUAUCAGAAAGAGAAUGAAUUGUUUACUUUCAAACCUCAGGAUCCCAUAAAGGGGGAGGGAAAGGUGUCCACUGGAAACAGAGGCUUUCAAGAGCUGACCGCUGCUGGGAACUCAUAAAAGAAACCCAAGACCUCCAAAGACCCGAACACAGUGCUAUUCAGCAAAGCGCCAUGCGAGAGAGUCCCAGUUCUGACAAGCCCUAGCGACACACCAGAGCAGCAUCAGGCAGUUGUGUUCGACGACAAGGUGUUCCUGCCGGAGUUCCCACCUGCCAGCCAAGCAGAGGAGGGCAGCCCAGAGAGCUCGGCAGGAGUGAAAGAGCAUGGGGCAACAAGGCAACGAACAAAAGGCAAAGACUCCGUUCUCUGCUUCCCUUAGAUGUGCCACAGAGCAAUCAUCUGAGCACCACGACAGAGCAAGGUUUUAAAACUUGUCCAGAUGGCUUUAACCUGAGGCACCUCACACUGUCCCUUGGCUUUGAUGAGCAGCCCCGGAACUGGGGUGUGUUACACCGUCCAGCACACUACUGACACGCAUGGCUACAGACAAACUGGAGAGACCUCUGGUGACCUGCACUUUGCUGUGAAUUCCAUUGAGAAGACCUCCAUUAACCAUGAAGGGAGCCCAGGAUGACAAGCCUAGAUGGUACAUCUGCACUGCAGUCAGAUGAGUUUCUGUCACUAGUGUCAGCUAGUCCCCAGCAGUUUCUCUCUUACUCAGCACCCACUGCUUACCAAUGCAAAGCACAACCCAGUCUGAAAUGGCUUUUAUCUUCCUCUGCACUGAUGGGACUCUUACACACAGUCUUCCUCUGCACAGAAGGAGUAGAAAAGCUGAAACCUCAUGCUGACUGCUUUCCUAGCAUCAGUAAUUCCACCCCAGGAGGAAAGAAAUCUCUUCGGUGGACAAUGUGAUUCUGAAAGUUUGUCUAGUAUACCUAAAAGCUAAUAUUUAUUGCUUAUUCAGCACAUACCAAAACAGUUAUGUAUAUUGGCAGUCCCCCUUACAGCCGAAAAAAGUCAUCUAUACAUUUUGCUGGUGCUGCUUUGAAACAGUGUCGCAAUUGCCUAACCAUGGAGGAUGGAUCCCCAAUUAUUUGAGGCAAGCUGUUGCAGCCAUGGUGCUGAAGACUCUGCAGAUAAUUGUAAAGUGAACAGCACACCUUAAUCUUCUAAGGAAUUAAAUAAUUACUGCUGGUUAACUUCAAUAAGAAAAACUAUUCUGGAGUUCAGCUUUCUCAUCGUUUGCAUUCGAUCUUGCGGCUGCAGACAUGGCGCGGGUGACACUCCUUGUCCAUUUGGGAAGCUGUGAGACCAGAAUGAGCCGCGUUUGGCUCUGUGGUGUGCAGACAGCCCCAGGUCUUACAGCGCGCCACAGGAAAACAAGUCGACAGAUGCAAGACCAAAGUUGUGCAUCUGAGUUCUCCCAGCUGGCUGCUGUUUGUUAGUCACCGCUUCCACAGAGCCCCCCUUGUGCGCUUCCAGACUGCAUCAUUUGUUCUGGACAGACCUAAUGACCAUAGCUCUGCUGUAAUUUGGCAGGACUUGUGAGCUUAAUUCAAACCAUUCUGUGCUGUUAUAGCUUGUGGUAUGUGUAACUGGGGGAAGAUCUCCAAUAGUGAAUGGCUUCUAAAUUAUACAGUUAGUAUUGCGCUCUUAUGUUUUGUGUUCAGGAACGCCAAACUAUUGACCAUUCCAAGCCUUGAAAAAUAUGAAUCUGUUAUUUUGCCCAGCACGCACUAUUAAUUCGCUCACUAGAUGGCUGAUAAAUAAAACCCAGACAGAAUUCCAUCUCCCAAACUUGACAGCUAGGGGUCGGCCCUAAGCAAAUCUUGCUUAAAUCUGAAGGGAAAAUGUUGGAUUUGUCCCCAGGCUUAAACUCCCCAAUGCCUCUUGUUGCCAUGUUGAGUAAAACUAAAUUUGUCCAUGCCCUGAAAUCAGACAGACUUUCAGACCCACAUUUGGCAAAGAGCACUCCUGGUAAUCAUCAUGACCGUGGGUCAUAUUCCUGACUUCUUCAUCUUUGUGUUUACCAGCCUUGGAUAAAUAGCCAGGCACUUGUGCACGGCUCUUCCACUGGCUCACUGGUUGCACUUAGAAGCCUGUCACUGUGUUGUAUUAUUUUUGUUUACUUUGGCCAAAGAAUCUACUAAGUAGCUUAUUUAAAGGAUUGAUCGCCUGACUCUGGUGCACCCCAGUGGCUACAUUAAAAAUACUUUCCAGGCUUCUCGGUUUCCAGUUAGGCUUCGCCCUCUGCUGACAGAAACUGUAGUGCAGCUACUCCUACGCCUCGCAUUACUGACCCUCUGCUUUGGGUUCCUUUAGUUCCCAACUCAUGGCAAAACAGCCACAGAAAGGAGAGACGAUCAGAGUUACUCUGAAGAGAGCUAAUUGUUGGAAACAUCAGUCUCUCCACAGCCUCUACAGGAAGCGGGGGGAGGAUAAAGAAAAAGGACACAUAAAUGCUCAUCAGAAAUGUUUGUUCAGAGUUGGAAUGUGAGUCUGGGUCCCCCCGAAGAAUCACUAACAGCAAUGAGCAAUGCUGACUAUAGGUACUACAUGGUGUUCAUUGUGCUUGGCUUACAAGAAACACUGGGGGAUAAAUAGUGGCUAUGAAUAAUUCAUGACAGUUGCCAUACUGGCUUUUGCAAAUUCACCAAUGACAGUUUCCCUAUGACAGAUUAUUUGAAAGUUUGAUUAUGCCAUGGGCAUGGAGGGGGUAGGGAAGAUGGAUUACGUUUUUUCAGGGUUUUUUUCCCCCGAUCCCAAGUUUAACCUUAGCAUGAAAUCAGAAUUGUAUUUAAUUUACAGUCCAACCAGGAACAAUAUGAAUGUUUUUCCAUUCAUCAGGGACCACAGAAGCAUUUCCCAAGGAUAUUUUCCGUUUGCCCUGAUAUGACUGGCCCAGGCUCAGAGAACUGGAGGCAGAGGAGCCAUCUGUCAUCAGUGAGGUCACUACCUCUGCAAAGAGCGCUUGAGGAAACUAUGGGAAUUUCUAUAGGCAAUUACAACAAAAAUCAGCUUUGUAUCUUCUCUAACAACACAGUUAAAAUAAUUACAAUAUCAUAGUAUAUCUUUUAGUUAAGUAGGACUAUGUAUGUUCCCCCCGACAUGUGAGACAGACAAUUUCUCAACAGCAUGGCUGCACACUCCCAAAAGCAGCGAUAGCCAGUAAUACAGAUGAAUUCUGUGUACUGCUUUGUUUUCCCCACCAAGGCUCGCAGAAUUAAAAAUCAAACUAAAGCUACUAAUGCAGAGGUGUCCUUUCUGGGAAAGGAGCAUGAAAGAAAAAUACAGGACCAGGAAAAAUUUAUUGUCUUGUAGCAGUAUCAUUAGCUAAAUGACAAACAAAACGAUACUCAACAUUUUCAAGAGGUUGUUGAUGAAAGGAAAUGAUAUUCCCUUAUCUGACUGAGGUGAUCCUUACUACAGCUUGAAUUGCAUAUUCAUAUUCUCACUUCACCCUCCUCUUCCCUAGUCCAACAUGUGCUUUUAUAGGAGUAAUUUCCCAUAGUGAGGUGGACAAUAACAUCCAUUAAGGCAUUCCUAUAAAUCUUCUGAUUCCAGAAAACAGCUUUGCCUCAAUAAAAUUUUUAUGACUUUUUUGUUUUAUAACAGGAUGAUGCAACUUAAUUUCAACUGAUUUCACUUUGGAUCCGCAGCUAAAAGAGUAAAUCAAUGUAAAUUCUGAAUGGAUGCCAACCUGCAAAUGUUAAGGAUUUUCCCAGAAUAUUCUGGCGUCAAAUUUUUAAUAAUUUAAAAGACAUUAUGAGGAUUUUUUCCAAUACCAUGGGUAUAUAGGCAAGCUCCAGUUUAGUAUCAAGGCUGAAUACAUGUGUUUGGAUCUGUUUUUUUCUAUCAGUUUCUCAACAAAGAGUAUGAAUUCAAAGCAUUGGUCACAGGCAUUUACACCCAUCCCCUUUCCCUUCCCAUCAGCGAGCUGAUUUGAAUGACUGCCUGCACUGCCCAUUUCUAUCAAUGGCUCUUUUGACCUGUGGUAUGGCUAGAAGCUUUAAUUAACAGAAACUUAAGAGAAGUGGAAGAAAGUUAGAACAUUAAAGGCCUAUAUUUUUACACACACACUGAAGUCCCCAGAAAGACCCGAAGCCAUUGCAAAACUACUAGGAAACAGGCCUUUUUAAAUAUUAUGAACAGAUCUUUCGUUAUAGCCCAGAAUUACUGCUUUUGAGAGAGAAGGGAAAGAGAUACCAUCAAAUCCCUUAAUACAUUUCAUUUUUUAUCAGAUAAGCGGCCUAUACAAAGCUAAACAGACACUUUCCCUCCCCCCAUGCAGCUGACAAGAACGUGGGCUCAAGAAAAGCCUCCAGUCACUGCCUGCUAUAGGAAGAAAACUAACUCCAAGUUCUAAACUGAGAAAAGAGUCUAUAAAAGCUUGUGUCAUAAAUACAUAGUCUAAAGCUUUGCCACUUUUGCUGGCCGCAAGAGGGAUUUCAGCUGCAAAUUCCUUUCAAAAAGGGCAACACAAACUUUGGCCCCUUUGGGGCAUCUCCUUCUCUAGUUCCCGCAAGUACUGUGGUAGACAUCCUCUCUUCUAGGAGGGCAGAAGAGUCACCUUGGCUACUGGCAGCAGGAGGUAGCAGUAGGGCUAGAUAGGCAUAAGCACUUGUCCUUGCAUUAGCUGGGGCAGGUGCUAGUGAGUGACGCACGGCUGGAGCUCUGGCCCCAGCAGCGUGCUGGGGUUUGAGGUGUUUUCUCCAUCCUCAGAAGCUCUGGCCAGCACAAACACCAGGUCUUUUGCUGUACCCCAGGCUGGAGCCAGUGGUGGCUCUGCAUUUUUAGCCCUACCUUCCUCUAGCUGAUGUACCACCAAGUAAAGUGCCAUACUUGCUUAAAGUCACCAGAGACCUUGAUCUCACUCUUGAAAUGCCCUUUAAGUAGCCUAUUUUAAGGGUGGCAUGAAGGAAAAGCAAAGCCCAACCUCUAGUGCAGCCCCAUCCUUUUAGAACAAAAUAAAUGUGUUUCCCUUAUAGGCAGAUUCUCAUAAAUAUGAACAAAAACAAACUAAAAGAGUCAGAUGAGGAUUGUUUGCUUCCAAAAUUAAAGCAACAAUAAAUUUCCAGCGCACCCUCUCCCAACAUAUUUACACUGUGAAGAGAUUGAUGUGUAAAGCAAAACCGUGCAGUUGAGAAAUAAUUUUUC
Molecule: long non-coding RNA, 5336 nt
Organism: Chroicocephalus ridibundus (black-headed gull)
Lineage: Eukaryota; Metazoa; Chordata; Aves; Charadriiformes; Laridae
Exons: 6
Source: RefSeq, a predicted model, not a curated record